This 253-nucleotide ribosomal RNA is filed under the name uncultured bacterium. RNAcentral describes it as "partial 16S ribosomal RNA". It matches the Rfam family "Bacterial small subunit ribosomal RNA", at positions 524 to 776 of the family's 1533-position model. The record is from RNAcentral.
UACGAAGGGGGCUAGCGUUGCUCGGAAUUACUGGGCGUAAAGCGCACGUAGGCGGCUUUCUAAGUCGGGGGUGAAAUCCUGGAGCUCAACUCCAGAACUGCCUUUGAUACUGGCGAUCUUGAGUUCGAGAGAGGUGAGUGGAACUGCGAGUGUAGAGGUGAAAUUCGUAGAUAUUCGCAAGAACACCAGUGGCGAAGGCGGCUCACUGGCCCGGUACUGACGCUGAGGUGCGAAAGCGUGGGGAGCAAACAGG